RNAcentral lists this ribosomal RNA (460 nucleotides) under uncultured bacterium. RNAcentral's name for it is "partial 16S ribosomal RNA". It matches the Rfam family "Bacterial small subunit ribosomal RNA", at positions 338 to 795 of the family's 1533-position model. The record is from RNAcentral.
CCUACGGGUGGCAGCAGUGAGGAAUAUUGGUCAAUGGACGCAAGUCUGAACCAGCCAUGCCGCGUGCAGGAUGACGGCUCUAUGAGUUGUAAACUGCUUUUGUACGAGGAUAAACCGCGAUACGUGUAUCGGGUUGAAAGUAUCGUACGAAUAAGGAUCGGCUAACUCCGUGCCAGCAGCCGCGGUAAUACGGAGGAUCCGAGCGUUAUCCGGAUUUAUUGGGUUUAAAGGGUGCGUAGGCGGUUUGUUAAGUCAGAGGUGAAAUGUUGUGGCUCAACCCUGAAAUUGCCUCUGAUACUGGUGGACUUGAGAAUAGUUGCGGUAGGCGGAAUGUAUGGUGUAGCGGUGAAAUGCUUAGAGAUCAUACAGAACACCGAUUGCGAAGGCAGCCUACCAAACUAUAUCUGACGUUGAGGCACGAAAGCGUGGGGAGCAAACAGGAUUAGAUACCCCAGUAGUC